Molecule: ribosomal RNA, 476 nt
Filed under: uncultured bacterium
Lineage: Bacteria
Description: partial 16S ribosomal RNA
Rfam family: Bacterial small subunit ribosomal RNA
Source: RNAcentral
GAUGAACGCUGGCGGCGUGCCUAACACAUGCAAGUCGAACGAAGCACCUUACCUGAUUCUUCGGAUGAAAGUUUGGUGACUGAGUGGCGGACGGGUGAGUAACGCGUGGGUAACCUGCCCUGUACAGGGGGAUAACAGCUGGAAACGGCUGCUAAUACCGCAUAAGCGCACGAGGAGACAUCUCCUUGUGUGAAAAACUCCGGUGGUACAGGAUGGGCCCGCGUCUGAUUAGCUGGUUGGCAGGGUAACGGCCUACCAAGGCAACGAUCAGUAGCCGGUAUGAGAGGAUGAACGGCCACAUUGGAACUGAGACACGGUCCAAACUCCUACGGGAGGCAGCAGUGGGGAAUAUUGCACAAUGGGGGAAACCCUGAUGCAGCAACGCCGCGUGAGUGAAGAAGUAUUUCGGUAUGUAAAGCUCUAUCAGCAGGGAAGAUAAUGACGGUACCGGACUAAGAAGCUCCGGCUAAAUACGU